AGGGGUAUAGCUCAGUUGGUAGAGCAGCGGAUUCCAAAUCCGCAGGUCCUGGGUUCAAGUCCUAGUGCCCCUG
This 73-nucleotide transfer RNA is filed under the name Pseudomonadota bacterium. Its description in RNAcentral is "Proteobacteria bacterium (marine metagenome) tRNA-Trp". It matches the Rfam family "tRNA". From Rfam's summary of the family: Transfer RNA (tRNA) molecules are approximately 80 nucleotides in length. Their secondary structure includes four short double-helical elements and three loops (D, anti-codon, and T loops). The record is from RNAcentral. Lineage: Bacteria; Pseudomonadati; Pseudomonadota.